GCGACCGGCGCACGGGUGAGUAACACGUAUCCAACCUUCCGUUUACUCAGGGAUAGCCUUUCGAAAGAAAGAUUAAUACCUGAUAGUAUGGUGAGAUUGCAUGAUAGCACCAUUAAAGAUUUAUUGGUAAACGAUGGGGAUGCGUUCCAUUAGGUAGUAGGCGGGGUAACGGCCCACCUAGCCGACGAUGGAUAGGGGUUCUGAGAGGAAGGUCCCCCACAUUGGAACUGAGACACGGUCCAAACUCCUACGGGAGGCAGCAGUGAGGAAUAUUGGUCAAUGGGCGAGAGCCUGAGCCAGCCAAGUAGCGUGAAGGAUGAAGGUCCUACGGAUUGUAAACUUCUUUUAUACGGGAAUAAAGUAUCCUACGUGUAGGAUUUUGUAUGUACCGUAUGAAUAAGCAUCGGCUAACUCCGUGCCAGCAGCCGCGGUAAUACGGAGGAUGCGAGCGUUAUCCGGAUUUAUUGGGUUUAAAGGGAGCGCAGACGGGAGAUUAAGUCAGUUGUGAAAGUUUGCGGUUCAACCGUAAAAUUGCAGUUGAUACUGGUUUCCUUGAGUGCAGUUGAGGCAGGCGGAAUUCGUGGUGUAGCGGUGAAAUGCUUAGAUAUCACGAAGAACCCCGAUUGCGAAGGCAGCUU
RNAcentral lists this ribosomal RNA (638 nucleotides) under uncultured bacterium. Its description in RNAcentral is "bacterial SSU rRNA". It matches the Rfam family "Bacterial small subunit ribosomal RNA", at positions 91 to 727 of the family's 1533-position model. The record is from RNAcentral.